CCUACGGGCGGCUGCAGUGGGGAAUAUUGGACAAUGGGGGCAACCCUGAUCCAGCCAUGCCGCGUGUGUGAAGAAGGCCCUCGGGUUGUAAAGCACUUUCAGUGAGGAAGAACGCCUGGUGGUUAAUACCCAUCAGGAAAGACAUCACUCACAGAAGAAGCACCGGCUAACUCCGUGCCAGCAGCCGCGGUAAUACGGAGGGUGCGAGUGUUAAUCGGAAUUACUGGGCGUAAAGCGCGCGUAGGUGGCUUGAUAAGCCGGUUGUGAAAGCCCCGGGCUCAACCUGGGAACGGCAUCCGGAACUGUCAAGCUAGAGUGCAGGAGAGGAAGGUAGAAUUCCCGGUGUAGCGGUGAAAUGCGUAGAGAUCGGGAGGAAUACCAGUGGCGAAGGCGGCCUUCUGGACUGACACUGACACUGAGGUGCGAAAGCGUGGGUAGCAAACAGGAUUAGAUACCCCUGUAGUC
RNAcentral lists this ribosomal RNA (465 nucleotides) under Vreelandella stevensii. Its description in RNAcentral is "partial 16S ribosomal RNA". It matches the Rfam family "Bacterial small subunit ribosomal RNA", at positions 338 to 795 of the family's 1533-position model. The record is from RNAcentral. Lineage: Bacteria; Pseudomonadati; Pseudomonadota; Gammaproteobacteria; Oceanospirillales; Halomonadaceae.